UGAUGCAUAGGAGGAAAUUCCACAUAUUAUCUAACUGUGCCCCUAACUGUUCACAAACAAACUGAGACACCUCACUAACCAAUUCCCCUGAAUUUACAUC
Molecule: non-coding RNA, 100 nt
Organism: Ceratotherium simum simum (southern white rhinoceros)
Lineage: Eukaryota; Metazoa; Chordata; Mammalia; Perissodactyla; Rhinocerotidae
Source: RefSeq, a predicted model, not a curated record